RNAcentral lists this ribosomal RNA (321 nucleotides) under uncultured bacterium. RNAcentral describes it as "bacterial SSU rRNA". It matches the Rfam family "Bacterial small subunit ribosomal RNA", at positions 478 to 793 of the family's 1533-position model. The record is from RNAcentral.
GCUGCAGAAGAAGCACCGGCUAACUCCGUGCCAGCAGCCGCGGUAAUACGGAGGGUGCGAGCGUUAAUCGGAAUUACUGGGCGUAAAAGCGCAUGCAGGUGGUUUGUUAAGUCAGAUGUGAAAAGCCCCGGGGCUCAACCUCGGAAUUGCAUUUUGAAAACUGGCAAACUAGAGUACUGUAGAGGGGGUAGAAUUUCAGGUGUAGCGGUGAAAAUGCGUAGAGAUCUGAAGGAAUACCGGUGGCGAAGGCGGCCCCCUGGACAGAUACUGACACUCAGAUGCGAAAGCGUGGGGAGCAAACAGGAUUAGAUACCCUGGUAG